CUACGGGCUGCUGCAGUUAGGCAUAAUCUACAAUGCGCGCAAGCGUGAUAGUUUGAGUCAGAGUGCGCUUCAAUUUGGAGUGCUUUUGUGAAAUUUAAAAUGUUUCACGAAUAAGGACUGGGUAAGACUAGUGCCAGCCGCCGCGGUAAUACUAGCGGUCCGAGUCGCAGCCAUUUUUAUUGGGUCUAAAACAUCCGUAGCUUGCUUUGUAAGUUCCUUGUGAAAUCCUAUAUCUCAAGUAUAGGGCGGGCAGGGAGUACUACUAAGCUAGAGACUGGAAGACGUAAAGAGUAUGUUCAAAGUAGCGGUAAAAUGUGUUAAUCUUGAGCAGACUAACAAUAGCGAAGGCACUUUACGAGGACAGUUCUGACAGUAAGGGAUGAAGGCUAGGGGCGCAAAACGGAUUAGAUACCCCGGGUAGUC
This 423-nucleotide ribosomal RNA is filed under the name uncultured archaeon. RNAcentral describes it as "partial 16S ribosomal RNA". It matches the Rfam family "Archaeal small subunit ribosomal RNA", at positions 323 to 746 of the family's 1478-position model. The record is from RNAcentral.